GCGGUUCCAGCGUCAGUGCUUACUGUAAGCCUUAACCUUUUAGAUACUGUUGCCAACCUAGUCACACUUCCUUAUUGAUUUCUACAGCUAGUACUUUGGUAAUCUUAUGAUUUUCUUGGCUUUAUUUGCUUUGGGUUUGUUCUCCAACAUUACACUUAAGUAGAAUCAAAUCUAUGCUCCCUAUUUUUGAAUUCAAUCUUUUGUCAUCUGUAUACUUCCUGAGCAGUUUGAACCAAAUAUGCUUUGUCAUCCCCUUGGUGCUGUAUAAUAAUUUUUUUUCCCUAUACAAGUGUCAAGUCCUCUAGUAAUUUGGUUUCCGUCUUUCAGCUUGGAGGCGGAUAUCUCUUUGGG
RNAcentral lists this unclassified non-coding RNA (351 nucleotides) under Hevea brasiliensis (rubber tree). The record is from RNAcentral. Lineage: Eukaryota; Viridiplantae; Streptophyta; Magnoliopsida; Malpighiales; Euphorbiaceae.